Long non-coding RNA from Bubalus bubalis (water buffalo), 785 nucleotides. RefSeq lists it as uncharacterized. The record is from RefSeq and is a predicted model, not a curated record. The transcript has 3 exons. Lineage: Eukaryota; Metazoa; Chordata; Mammalia; Artiodactyla; Bovidae.
UUGCUGGUCAACAGACUACCACUAGUUUAGUUUUAAGGGAGUCAAUUGACUGUGGGGGGUAGGGGGUUGGGUGAACUAAUCCUCACAUUGUUCAAGGAAAAACUAUGUAUGAGUAGGUGCUGGGGUAGAUAGGAAGAAUACCCUAGCAAAAUCGGAUAUUCUUAGGGGAAAUGGGUGCUGGGUAGUCAGCCGACAGAUCCCUAGUACUGUAGCGCAUACCACUGUUGGAUACCUAUGUUCUGAUUUUUCAGUCUUAUAUGUUGGCUGUCUCUACCUCUGUAGGCAUCUGCGAUUGUUUUCCUGGAACAAAUUCUUAAUGUUGAGUUGCUGGGUCAAAGUAGACGAAUGUUUGAUUUGGUCUUGAUAAGCUUUCUGGAAGAAAGUUUGUUUCCUACCAGGCCGUGCCUCGUAACGCCGGGAGCUGCACGUGUUCACACAUGACGUGCAGCUGUGUUUUAAGUUUUGCUGAUUUGAUAGGAUGUGCCGUGCUCCAUGAUAGCAGGGCUUUGGCCUGUUCACUGCCGUAUCUCUAGUGGCAUGGACGACGUAAGUGGAGAGUAGACACUAAAUGAGAAAACUGAGCUCCAGAGAGAGAGAGAUUCCACUUAGAGUCUCUUGUUGGUGAAAGGAGCCAAGACUCAACCUGCUUUGCCUUAUUCUCCUGUGCUCUUUCAACUCCCUAUGCAUUGUAUUAUAGAACUAUAAGGGAAAAAAUGCAUGUACUUUUUAACAUCUUAAGGACUUUGAAACUGCUGUUUUAAAAAUAACUUGCUAUGUGAUCACAA